AUAAGGAGUAGGACCUGCCCAGUGAUUUAAAUUCAACGGCCGCGGUACCCUGACCGUGCAAAGGUAGCAUAAUCAUUUGCCCUAUAAUUGAGGGCUAGUAUGAAUGGUUUGACGAGAGCUAAACUGUCUCUAUAUAAUUUUAUAAAAAUUUAUUUUCAGGUGAAGAAGCCUGAAUUUUAUUAAAAGACAAGAAGACCCUAUCGAGCUUUAAAAAACUUUAUAGACUAUUUAAAUAUAAAUAUAUAAAUUUCUAUUUAAAAUUUUGGUUGGGGCGACUAAGGAACAAGUAAAGCUUCUUUUAUUAAUUAAGACAUUCAUGUUAUGAUCCAAAUAUUUUGAUUAAAGAAAUUAGUUACCGUAGGGAUAACAGCAUAAUCUUUUUUAAGAGCUCUUAUCGAAAAAAAGGUUUGUGACCUCGAUGUUGGACCAGAGUUUCCUAAAGAUGCAGCAGUCUUUAAGGGUUGGUCUGUUCGACCAUUAAAACUCUA
Molecule: ribosomal RNA, 488 nt
Filed under: Ficidae sp. MNHN-IM-2007-33633
Lineage: Eukaryota; Metazoa; Mollusca; Gastropoda; Littorinimorpha; Ficidae
Description: partial 16S ribosomal RNA
Rfam family: Bacterial large subunit ribosomal RNA
Source: RNAcentral